AAUCUAUGCAUUAGACAUUUUUUAAUUAAUUCUUUAAAUCGUUCCCAAGCUUCAUAUAGUGUUUCAUCCUUCGAUUGCCGACAAUAUGUGCUGUCAUUUCUAAGCUU
This is a small nucleolar RNA of Gossypium raimondii (Peruvian cotton), 107 nucleotides long. It matches the Rfam family "Plant small nucleolar RNA R71". Rfam says of the family: R71 is a member of the C/D box family of snoRNAs containing the C (UGAUGA) and D (CUGA) box motifs. The record is from Rfam. NCBI's taxonomy places the organism in Eukaryota, Viridiplantae, Streptophyta, Magnoliopsida, Malvales, Malvaceae.